Molecule: ribosomal RNA, 112 nt
Filed under: Caerostris darwini
Lineage: Eukaryota; Metazoa; Arthropoda; Arachnida; Araneae; Araneidae
Source: RNAcentral
AACGGCCAUACCAUGGUGAAUAUACCGGUUCUCGUUAGAUCACCGAAGUCAAGCAUCAUUGGGCGCGGUCAGUACUUGGGUGGGUGACCACCUGGGAACACCGCGUGCCGUU